AAAACAUUUGCUUCUCACGUCAUACUCUUCUACCGUUCGAGCAAGGGAUGAUUUCGACCAACAUACCUCUCGGUGAGUCAUCUUGGAGCUCUAGGGUUCAAGUUCAAGCCAAUCGAAGAAAUGCCUGAUUAUUUCAUUGUUUCCCUUGUGGAACAAGGCCGUCUCUCUUCAUUCAGUUUGGCUAUAAACUUGUCAAGACAUGAUAUACUGAUCUUUGUUACUAAAUCUUGAACUCAACUUCAGACUCAAUUUAAAUCUUUCAUUCAGAAAAACAAAAUCCGAAACAACUUUUCCUUUAUAUUUUUGAAGUUUUUUUCAAGUGCCGAUUCAAUUGUCAAUUUUAAGUUCAAAGGAUAAUUUUUUCUUUCUCUCCAGUUGCUACAAAAAAAAAAAAAAAAAAAAAAGUCUAUCUCCAUGGGAUUAAAGGUAGCUUUGAUUAUGCAAGUCCAGUCCAACCCAAAAACAUAAGCCCUCAAACAACGCCUGUUGUUUUCUUGCAAGCAGAAGCAGCAGCAUUCAUGAGACACAUAGAGAAGGAAACCAGUCCACCUUCGCCUUUCUCUCCACCUACAACGGAAAACAUAGAAAGCAAUCGCCUCUUGUAUCCCUCUCUUUAUUUUUCUCCCUUUCCUUCAGGUCUGGUCUAAGUACGCUGCGUUAGAAGACGACAAGUGUGCUCUAAAAUUAGAGAUGGGAGUCCUGUAUCUGAUUUUUCUCCCUUUCCCUCUCUUCCCCUUUUUUGUUGCACGAUGGUGAUUAAUAUGGGUAAUUCAGAAAUGUUUUGUUGGCUUGGUGUGUUUUCUGUAAAGGGCUGAGUGUGCUUUGCUAAUGGCGUAGCUUGCCCUCCUCCUAUUUCUCCCUGGUUUGUAAUGAGGCUGGCGAUAAUCCAUCUUUUCGUGUCGUUCUUGCUGUUUCUGUUGAUAGUUCAUGUCAAUUUUUGGAUAGGUUUUGGUUGCUCAAGAUUCUCACGAAUGAGUUGUCUAGAUACAGAUCACAGAUUAAUAAUAAUAGGCAGUUUAACUCAAUAUAUUUGCGUUGUACCGGAUUAUCUGCGUUCUAACAGGUCCACACAACUCACAAGAAAGUUCAGCUCUGAUAGAAUUUUGAACACAUAUAGUAGAUUGGCCAUGCUAUUGUAUCCUAUUCCUACAAGAAGCCGCCUUAAUUAGUGUGAAGAGACUAGUUCACUCCAUGUUUGAGCACAACAUGUCUGCAAUUUCUGUUCUUUAGCAGUGUUAAUCACUCUUGAUUGAAUUGAACACCUCCUUAGGCAGACCGACCCCAGUUGCCAUCCCAAGUUAUCUAGAACAGCAAUUGGUUCUUGUGGUAAUUCAAAUUCGAUCAUCCUUCUCGCUGUCCAAGUUUAAACGUUAUGAAUUCAUGUUUUCAUGUUUAGCAAGGCUGGUUAAUGAUCUUUGUUGUGUGA
Populus trichocarpa (black cottonwood) is the source of this 1426-nucleotide long non-coding RNA. RefSeq lists it as uncharacterized. Lineage: Eukaryota; Viridiplantae; Streptophyta; Magnoliopsida; Malpighiales; Salicaceae. The transcript has 2 exons. The record is from RefSeq and is a predicted model, not a curated record.